RNAcentral lists this ribosomal RNA (456 nucleotides) under uncultured bacterium. RNAcentral describes it as "bacterial SSU rRNA". It matches the Rfam family "Bacterial small subunit ribosomal RNA", at positions 340 to 786 of the family's 1533-position model. The record is from RNAcentral.
UACGGAAGGCAGCAGUGGGGAAUAUUGCGCAAUGGGCGAAAGCCUGAUGCAGCUAUGCCGCGUGUAUGAAGAAGGCCUUAGGGUUGUAAAGUACUUUCAUCGGGGAGGAAAAAACAAAACUAAUAAUUUUAUUUCUUGACGUUACCCGAAAAAGAAGCACCGGCUAACUCCGUGCCAGCAGCCGCGGUAAUACGGAGGGUGCUAGCGUUAAUCAGAAUUACUGGGCGUAAAGAGCACGUAGGUGGUUUUUUUAAGUCAGAUGUGAAAUCCCUGGGCUUAACCUAGGAACUGCAUUUUGAAACUGAAAUACUAGAGUAUCGUAGAGGGAGGUAGAAUUCUAGGUGUAGCGGUGAAAUGCGUAGAUAUCUGGAGGAAUACCUGUGGCGAAAGCGGCCUCCUAAACGAAUACUGACACUGAGGUGCGAAAGCGUGGGGAGCAAACAGGGAUUAGAUACC